AUGGGAACACAAGGCAUCACAACGCACCUCCUGACAGGCAGUCUGUUCCUGGUGACUUUGAGAGACCACUUUGUCCUCCUUGACUUGCUGACACUGCAGUUCAGCCAGGACUGGUUUUUGUACAGCCGUGUGUCACUGUGGGCUACCUUCGGAGGAGGAACCCGGCUGACCGUCCUCGGACAGCCAAAGGCCUCUCCUACCGUCCACCUCUUCCCUCCCUCCUCGGAACAGGUCAACAGCAAGAGCCAGGCCACGCUGGUGUGUCUGAUGGACGGCUUUUACCCCGGCUCGGUCCAGGUCACCUGGAAAGCUGAUGGCACCACCAUGUCCAGCGGAGUGGAGACCACCACGCCGUCCAAACAGAGCGACAACAAGUACAUGGCCAGCAGCUACCUGUCGCUGAGCGCCUCCGCCUGGAAGAGCCACGAGACCUACACCUGUCAGGUGACGCACGACGGGAAGAGCAUCGAGAAGACCCUGAAGAGAUCGGAGUGCUCUUAACCCGCAGCCCCGGAGGGCUCGGCUGGCUCCUGUCCCAGUCAGUAGAGAGCUGGGAUCCCUGAGGAGUUGGGAUCCUUCUGUAGUAUCUCCUUAAUGUUGAUUUCCAGCAAUUGUAUUUCUACUUUCUAUGGAAGUCAGUCCCUUUGAUGCCUGCCAUUCUUCUCACGUAUCCUUCUCCCACCCUCCCCUCUCUGAAUUCCCUGCACCUGUUGCUCCUGCUUUGAUCUCGGAUGCAGCCUUGUUACUAUAUUAAUAAAACCAGAAACAGUUUAACUCUCA
Molecule: non-coding RNA, 780 nt
Organism: Alligator sinensis (Chinese alligator)
Lineage: Eukaryota; Metazoa; Chordata; Crocodylia; Alligatoridae
Source: the annotation of a RefSeq genome assembly